CCUACGGGAGGCAGCAGUAGGGAAUCUUCCACAAUGGGCGAAAGCCUGAUGGAGCAACGCCGCGUGGGUGAAGAAGGUCUUCGGAUCGUAAAACCCUGUUGUUAGAGAAGAAAGUGCGUGAGAGUAACUGUUCACGUUUCGACGGUAUCUAACCAGAAAGCCACGGCUAACUACGUGCCAGCAGCCGCGGUAAUACGUAGGUGGCAAGCGUUAUCCGGAUUUAUUGGGCGUAAAGGGCACGCAGGCGGUCUUUUAAGUCUGAUGUGAAAGCCUUCGGCUUAACCGGGGUAGUGCAUUGGAAACUGGGAGACGUGAGUGCAGAAGAGGGGAGUGGAACGCCAUGUGUAGCGGUGAAAUGCGUAGAGAUAUGGAAGAACACCAGUGGCGAAAGCGGCUCUCUGGUCUGUAACUGACGCUGAGGUUCGAAAGCGUGGGUAGCAAACAGGAUUAGAUACCCUUGUAGUC
Molecule: ribosomal RNA, 465 nt
Filed under: uncultured bacterium
Lineage: Bacteria
Description: partial 16S ribosomal RNA
Rfam family: Bacterial small subunit ribosomal RNA
Source: RNAcentral